RNAcentral lists this ribosomal RNA (301 nucleotides) under uncultured bacterium. RNAcentral describes it as "partial 16S ribosomal RNA". It matches the Rfam family "Bacterial small subunit ribosomal RNA", at positions 509 to 807 of the family's 1533-position model. The record is from RNAcentral.
CAGCAGCCGCGGGAAUACGGAGGAUCCGAGCGUUAUCCGGAAUUAUUGGGUUUAAAGGGUGCGUAGGCGGAUAGAUAAGUCAGUGGUGAAAGACGGUGGCUCAACCAUCGCAGUGCCGUUGAUACUGUUUAUCUUGAAUAUGGAUGAGGUAGGCGGAAUGUGGCAAGUAGCGGUGAAAUGCAUAGAUAUGCCACAGAACACCGAUUGCGAAGGCAGCUUACCAAGGCAAAAUUGACGCUGAGGCACGAAAGCGUGGGGAUCGAACAGGAUUAGAUACCCCUGUAGUCCCUGUCUCUUAUAC